This 216-nucleotide ribosomal RNA is filed under the name Glomeromycotina sp. RNAcentral describes it as "partial small subunit ribosomal RNA". The stretch from base 40 to 216 matches the Rfam family "Eukaryotic small subunit ribosomal RNA", at positions 686 to 864 of the family's 1831-position model. The record is from RNAcentral. Lineage: Eukaryota; Fungi; Glomeromycota.
GGGUCAGUAGGUUGGUCGUGCCACCGGUACGUACUGGUCUCACUGAUUCCUCCUUCCUGAGUAACCGUAAUGCCAUUAAUUUGGUGUUGCGGGGAAACAGGACUGUUACUUUGAAAAAAUUAGAGUGUUUAAAGCAAGCUAACGCUUGAAUACAUUAGCAUGGAAUAAUGAAAUAGGACGAUCGAUCCUAUUUUGUUGGUUUCUAGGAUUGACGUA